AUUGUCUCAAGUUUUAGUAGGUCUUUCAGGGAAUCAGCCAAAGGAAUUUCGCAGCGGUAUCUGUGCACCUUUGGAAAUGGCACCAAGUGCCUCUUUUAAGACCUUGAGUCUUGGCCUCCUGCUUUUCUCGGCGAUCGAGGCCGCUCGAGUCAAGCGCGAAGCGGUAGGUAACUCCGCCUGCCAACCUCUGCCUGCCCCC
Molecule: long non-coding RNA, 199 nt
Organism: Haliotis rubra (blacklip abalone)
Lineage: Eukaryota; Metazoa; Mollusca; Gastropoda; Lepetellida; Haliotidae
Exons: 3
Source: RefSeq, a predicted model, not a curated record